UACAGAGGUCUCAAGCGUUGUUCGGAUUCAUUGGGCGUAAAGGGUGCGUAGGCGGCGAGGUUAGUCAGGUGUGAAAUCUCGGGGCUCAACCCCGAAACUGCACUUGAUACUGCCUUGCUAGAGUACUGGAGAGGAGAUUGGAAUUUACGGUGUAGCAGUGAAAUGCGUAGAUAUCGUAAGGAAGACCAGUGGCGAAGGCGAAUCUCUGGACAGUUACUGACACUGAGGCACGAAGGCCAGGGGAGCAAACGGG
RNAcentral lists this ribosomal RNA (253 nucleotides) under uncultured bacterium. RNAcentral describes it as "partial 16S ribosomal RNA". It matches the Rfam family "Bacterial small subunit ribosomal RNA", at positions 524 to 776 of the family's 1533-position model. The record is from RNAcentral.